UACAGAGGUCUCAAGCGUUGUUCGGAUUUAUUGGGCGUAAAGAGCUCGUAGGCGGCUCGUCGCGUCGACCGUGAAAACUUGGGGCUUAACCCUAAGCUUGCGGUUGAUACGGGCGGGCUAGAGUUCGGUAGGGGAGACUGGAAUUCCUGGUGUAGCGGUGAAAUGCGCAGAUAUCAGGAGGAACACCGGUGGCGAAGGCGGGUCUCUGGGCCGAUACUGACGCUGAGGAGCGAAAGCGUGGGGAGCGAACAGG
Molecule: ribosomal RNA, 253 nt
Filed under: uncultured bacterium
Lineage: Bacteria
Description: partial 16S ribosomal RNA
Rfam family: Bacterial small subunit ribosomal RNA
Source: RNAcentral